GACACACCGGAAGUGGGGUUUUGGUGACAGCAUUCGCUGGCAGAUUGUAAGAAUUAAUUGUUAUCAAUCGUCUCAAACAUAUUAAUAAACUCUGAAUCGGAAAAAGAGCACAGUCUGCCAUGCUGCCAGAUGCAGGACGAGAAGAUCCAAGGUGCAGACUACUUUGGCCACAAAGAUGUUGCUGGUCAGUGCAUGAAGGUCCUGCGUGAAGUCUUCAAUGAGCAGGAGUUCCUAGAGAAAGUGAAGUACUUUGAUGUGGUAGAGCAGACAUGUGGUCUCAGAUGUCAUAUGUCUUUGUGAAGACUGGAGGCCUAUGACAUCGUCGCUGAAAUGUCCAAGGAAAAGUGUUCUUUGCUGGGGAGGAAACAUUCCUAUUUGAGUGGCGUCCGUGAAGCAAGUAAAAUCGCCUUACCUGUGAGCAGUCAGUCACACAAUACCAGCAUGACUACAUCUCAGUCGUACAGAGCAACGGUUCAGUUCCUCACUCAACUGAGUCACUACGCUUUUAAGUGGUGUUUUCAACCAGUGUGUCCUGUACCUCGAGUGUGAGCAGAGAUGACCAAUGCUGUUUGUAAUGCGCCAAUGUUAUGGACAUUGAAUCAAUGUGGAAAACUGAUUGGAUUUGCACAAAUUAACAUAAGGGAAUUUCAUAAUUUUCUUACCCAGCUUUUAACCUAAAUGUAAUGACAUUACGAAAUGUUUUGUUGAUUUCACGUUAGUUGACAACUAGACAUGGAACUGACGUCUGUGCCCAGUGGGACACUUCGUGUUGGUUUAGUUGGAGAUCACUGUAAUAAGAAAUUAAAAGAUUGGCAGCGCCAGUAUGCUUCUAAACAAUUAAUUUUGAUGUACAAAUGGACAUACAGUAUUUCUGUUAUAUGUGGAUUGUUUGUCAAUAACUAUUUAGUGAGGUGCAUGCCAAUGUCGUGCACACAUCAUCAAUAGCUUUCAAAGUUCCAAUGUGUUGGUACAAUGAGCGCUUAACUGUUGAAGUAAUAAAAGUUGAUAACUUAAAUGGAUAAAUGAGUACUU
Long non-coding RNA from Oncorhynchus mykiss (rainbow trout), 1032 nucleotides. RefSeq lists it as uncharacterized. Lineage: Eukaryota; Metazoa; Chordata; Actinopteri; Salmoniformes; Salmonidae. The record is from RefSeq and is a predicted model, not a curated record.